Molecule: unclassified non-coding RNA, 314 nt
Filed under: plant metagenome
Description: partial contains 5.8S ribosomal RNA, internal transcribed spacer 2, and large subunit ribosomal RNA
Rfam family: 5.8S ribosomal RNA (bases 1-105)
Source: RNAcentral
GAAAUGCGAUAAUUAAUGUGAAUUGCAGAAUUCAGUGAAUCAUCGAGUCUUUGAACGAACAUUGCGCCCCCUGGUAUUCCGGGGGGCAUGCCUGUCCGAGCGUCAUUGCUGCCCUCAAGCACGGCUUGUGUGUUGGGCUUCCGUCCCUGGCAACGGGGACGGGCCCAAAAGGCAGUGGCGGCACCAUGUCUGGUCCUCGAGCGUAUGGGGCUUUGUCACCCGCUCCCGUAGGUCCAGCUGGCAGCUAGCCUCGCAACCAAUCUUUUUAACCAGGUUGACCUCGGAUCAGGUAGGGAUACCCGCUGAACUUAAGC